AUGGGCUUUCCAAGCUGGGCUCUGCACUGCGGGGCCGCCGGCGCUCCCUGCCCCCUCCCGUCUUCUCCACUCUGCCCUGCUGCCUGCUGCUUACAUAAGCCCUGCGCGCACAUGCAGUGAAUUUAUCUUCUCCAUUAUGGAAGCUCCCGGCAAGACAGUGAGGCUGAAAUGCUGCUAGAUGUCCUCCCCGCUGGAGCUGUCCAGUAGUCACUCCCUGAAACAACAGAUCCAGCAGCAGCAAAUACCCUGUGUCAGGUCAGAAAGGCGGCCAGAUCUAAGCCUGAACAGAAAACUCCCUCCUAAGGGAACAGGAACAUUCGGGAAGGGGGCAUCUGAGCAAGUGCUUUAACCUCUCUGCUAGCACAGCGCUUCGUCUAACCUGCUGGGACAACCUGCCAGCUGCAGUGGGCUGGCUCCAGCCAGCCAAAGUCAUCAGACCUCUUUUGUCAAGAGAAGUGAAGGACAAACUGGUUUGUGCUGAAUCGUCUCAAUUAUCCCAUAGACUGAUUGACGCUGGAGUUGGAAGAUGAUCACAUGGAAAAAAGACUGCACUUCCCACCCUCCCUUGGAACUGAACUUGACUGUAUGACUACCUUCUGGGCAAUGAGCCGUAAAAGGAUGCAGUAUGUACAAGUUCUGCAAAGUGACUUCGGAAAGAAGAACCAUGACUCCUCUUCCCCUUUGUCUUUCCUGCUGGGUGGAAUGAGGAUGCAAACUUGGGCAUGGAAAAUGGACAGAAUGUGGUUCAAUGGAUCUCAUACCAGUCUUGGCCUGCUUAACUCCUGAUUUUGUUGUUCUGCAAAAGAUAAAAAUCUGUCUAGUUUAAA
Molecule: non-coding RNA, 827 nt
Organism: Vicugna pacos (alpaca)
Lineage: Eukaryota; Metazoa; Chordata; Mammalia; Artiodactyla; Camelidae
Source: RefSeq, a predicted model, not a curated record